UGGGGAAUAUUGCACAAUGGGCGAAAGCCUGAUGCAGCAACGCCGCGUGAGUGAUGACGGUCUUCGGAUUGUAAAGCUCUGUCUUUGGGGACGAUAAUGACGGUACCCAAGGAGGAAGCAACGGCUAACUACGUGCCAGCAGCCGCGGUAAUACGUAGGUGGCAAGCGUUGUCCGGAUUUACUGGGCGUAAAGGGUGCGUAGGCGGACCUUUAAGUGAGAUGUGAAAUCCCCGAGCUUAACUUGGGGGCUGCAUUUCAAACUGGAG
This 266-nucleotide ribosomal RNA is filed under the name uncultured bacterium. RNAcentral describes it as "partial 16S ribosomal RNA". It matches the Rfam family "Bacterial small subunit ribosomal RNA", at positions 355 to 638 of the family's 1533-position model. The record is from RNAcentral.